UAUGCCGCAAGGUGAAAUACGAAAGUGCCUAAAGACGAGCUCGCGCCUGAUUAGCUAGUUGGUGGGGUAAAGGCCUACCAAGGCGACGAUCAGUAGCUGGUUUGAGAGAAUGAUCAGCCACACUGGAACUGAGACACGGUCCAGACUCCUGCGGGAGGCAGCAGUGGGGAAUUUUCCGCAAUGGGCGAAAGCCUGACGGAGCAAUACCGCGUGAGGGAUUAAGGCCUGUGGGUUGUAAACCUCUUUUCUCAAGGAAGAAUCAAUGACGGUACUUGAGGAAUAAGCAUCGGCUAACUCCGUGCCAGCAGCCGCGGUAAUACGGGGGAUGCAAGCGUUAUCCGGAAUUAUUGGGCGUAAAGCGUCUGUAGGUUGUUUAAUAAGUCUGUUGUUAAAGACUGGGGCUUAACCCCAGGAAAGCAAUGGAAACUGUUAGGCUAGAGUAUGGUAGAGGUAGAGGGAAUUCCUAGUGUAGCGGUGAAAUGCGUAGAUAUUAGGAAGAACACCGGUGGCGAAAGCGCUCUGCUGGGCCAUUACUGACACUCAGAGACGAAAGCUAGGGUAGCAAAUGGGAUUAGAUACCCCAGUAGUCCUAGCCGUAAACGAUGGAUACUAGAUGUUGCGUAACUCGAUUAUGCAGUGUUGUAGCUAACGCGUUAAGUAUCCCGCCUGGGGAGUACACUCGCAAGGGUGAAACUCAAAGGAAUUGACGGGGGCCCGCACAAGCGGUGGAGCAUGUGGUUUAAUUUGAUGCAACGCGAAGAACCUUACCAAGGCUUGACAUGUCACG
Molecule: ribosomal RNA, 787 nt
Filed under: uncultured eukaryote
Lineage: Eukaryota
Description: bacterial SSU rRNA
Rfam family: Bacterial small subunit ribosomal RNA
Source: RNAcentral